This 209-nucleotide ribosomal RNA is filed under the name uncultured bacterium. RNAcentral's name for it is "partial 16S ribosomal RNA". It matches the Rfam family "Bacterial small subunit ribosomal RNA", at positions 644 to 847 of the family's 1533-position model. The record is from RNAcentral.
GAGUAUGAUAGAGGGUGGUAGAAUUUCAGGUGUAGCGGUGAAAUGCGUAGAGAUCGUGAAGGAAUACCGAUGGCGAAGGCAGGCCACCUGGGUGCGAGAGUGACUGACGCUCAUGUCGAAAGCGUGGGGAGCAAACGGGAUUAGAUACCCCGGUAGUCCACGCCGUAACGAUGUCUACUUAGGAGCUGGGGUCUUCGGACAACUUUUCC